Molecule: long non-coding RNA, 2014 nt
Filed under: Olea europaea subsp. europaea
Lineage: Eukaryota; Viridiplantae; Streptophyta; Magnoliopsida; Lamiales; Oleaceae
Source: RNAcentral
GGUGAAAGUGGUGUAUCACUUUCAUCUAAUUGUUCAGAUUCUUCUUCUCGUACUUCUCUGUCUUCUUUCUCUUUUGCCCUAUCACUUUGUACGACUCCACCAUUUUCCAUCCUCUCUCCUUUUUAUUUUUACUUUUUGAAUGGUUAGAAUGGUUUUCUGAGCUCUGAAGAUGAUAUAACAGUUAUGAACAUGGUAACAACGAUAUGGUAUAAAAAAUUAAGCUCCCAACAAAAGGUAAAAGGGAUUAAAAAUAAAUUAUGGGCUCACAAGAAAAGCUUACUGGAAUAAUUACUGGCUGAUAUUGGUAUACUAACAUGCAGAUAUAUCCAAAUAUGUACAUGUAUCUUGACAUAAACACGUAUUUAAGCAUGUAUAGAAAUAUGCACAUGUUUUUAUCUGCAGAGAGAAGAUUAUUAAGCUAAAGGCUUACCCUGCACCGAUGGUUUAGGGGUGGGCAUGUCCAGUUUAAGAGAACCAGACUGAACCAAUGGUUUCAUACACAGCACAGGAACCAGACCGGUGGGUUUCGGUUCAGUUCCAUUAAUGGUUAAAGGUAUGUUUAAACCUUUAACAAUUAAAUCUGAUUUUGACGUGUUAAGACAGAUCUUACUGAACAAUGAAACGUAUGAGUGAAGCAAAAGAGGGUCUUAAAUCCCUGGAAAUUAAUAGUGUCAAAUUAAUUUUCAACAGUAGAAAGCUGUGCAGAGCUUAAAAACUACAAGAAAGAAAAUGUACUCUCUCCACAAUUAAAAAACUAACAGAAACAAAAACAAAAAAACCCAAUACAAAGGUGCUCCUCUGUAUGAAAAAGUGACUGUCCGAGUAAAUAUAAAAGACAACCUUUAAACUGAAAGUAUCAUGUUCCUAAAUUAAAGGUGCAAACACCUACUUAGCAAAUUAAUAAUAUGUAAAUUGACCCCAGCAAGUCUCCUGUUUAACCCACACGCGGAACCUAUGACAUCAAAAUGGAGUGAUGAAGUAUGGAAUUCUUUCUUCUCUCUCAAAGAAGAAACAAAAUCAGAGGAUGCCAAAACCUUUUAAAAUAUGGAAUGAAGAAAAACUAAACAAAAAUGUCAAGAAAAAACCUUUUAAAAUAUGGAAUGAAGAAAAACUAAACAAAAAUGUCAAGAACAAUGAUGAAUUGUGAUAGCCUAAUAUCAAGCUCAAUUACAUCCUGGAACUUGAAAGCACAAAGAACACUACAACAGCGCUGCUUCACUUGCUUAAAUUGACAAAAGGAAUUAAACAAAACAAUAAACUUCAUCAUUCAUCCAGCAGACUUCAAUAGAAGCCUGUAUCUCAAUUCCUCGUUCAAUAAAUGUAAAUAUGUUAAUAUGACUGAAGUACUGAACUUCAAAAUCAAGAAAAUCUAUAUUUACACUGAAAAAAUCAGCAUACUGAAAGAUUAACUGAAUCUACAUCAACCUCAAAUACCAUGAGAUUAAUGAUACCAAUUGAAAAUAUAAAUUAAAAACAAAUAUCAUCCAACGAGCAUUAACUGGAAAUUAAUGAACUAAUCAGUAAGCCUUAACCAAAUAAUAAUAAUAAUAAUAAUAAAACCUAAUCCAGCUGUCCAGCCCGAAAUUGGAAGGAAAGCAUUAAGUGUCAAAACUUUAUGAAUGUAAAAACCAGGGAAAAAACGUAACUUUUUCGGACUAGCGAAAAAUUGUCCAAUAAAAUUGAUAAAUAGAUAAAGCUCUUAAUGUUUUACCUGGUUGAAUAAAAUAUAGUGUGGAAAAACAGAUUCUUGGACGGAUUUGGAUAGAAAUAUCGAACAUCAUCAAAUAUAAUGUUUAGCUCAAACGUCAAAGAAGCGUCUCCUGUAUUUUAUAUGAAAUUGGGUUGGCGAGAAGUAUGAGAAGGGGAAUUUUAAACUUUGAAGCUCAACAGCAUGGAUUCGUCAAAUUCUGAUUUUGUAUUAGGGUUUAUGAACAUUUACUCAACAAUAGCGUGGGAUGGUGCAAGCCAAAAAAUAAAUUAUAAUAACAAUAAACCUUUUUUGGUUAAAGCCAGA